This is a non-coding RNA of Cherax quadricarinatus, 1629 nucleotides long. Lineage: Eukaryota; Metazoa; Arthropoda; Malacostraca; Decapoda; Parastacidae. The record is from RefSeq and is a predicted model, not a curated record.
UUUCAGGUUGGUGAAGGUUAUGAAGAAUUUACGUCUGAGGAAGUGACCGACCGAUUUUUAUGUGCUGUAUUUUUUUGUUUUGGUUUUGCCGAGGUAUUGGAUGGAAGACUGAGUAAAGGUUUGAGGUUAUGGGGUGACUGACUUUGUUAGAGGCAGCGAGUAGAAGGAAUUAAUGUUGUAAGGUAUAUGAAGGUGAGGACUAAUUGGCGGCUGAUUGAAUCAAUGAUUGUUGUGUAGAGGCAGAGUGUGAUGAUGUUUUAGCGGGAAGACUGACUGAGUGAAGGGAGCUGUUAGUGCUUUAUUUAAAGUUAAUAGAGAUGGAGGACGAGAGUUUUUGAUAUGGUGAUUGAUUUGUACUGAUUAGCAGAGGCGGAGAGAAUUGAGGAGCUAAUAGUGAAAAGUUUUUGGAAGCGUGCGUGGCGGUGAUGGCGGCAGCAACAGCGGCGUUGGUCAAUUUGAUGUAGAUCAUGUUAGAGGGAGGGAAUUAAUCAAUUAUUAGACUAUUUGAAGAUAAUUAGUUAUUGAAUGUAAGUGAGGUAUAAUAGGUUUUGGUGAAUUGUGGAGUGAGCAUUAUGAAAGCCAUAUUGACUUUAAUCACUGAAGGAGUGAAGAUACUGCUGGUGUCCAGACCAAGUUUAGACUAAUAGCUACAAACAUAAUUAAUGAUGAAGGUCGCAUCCCAGACUUUUCAUUGUUAAUAUGACUGCAAGUGUAUAUAUAAUGUGGGAGUUUAUAUACGUUUGUGGUGUUUGAGUCAUUACGUUGAGGCUUGUGUUUUGGAAAUACCGGGUAUUCAUGUACUCUGGAUGGGUUUAUUUGUCGCUGUGAAAUGGUUAGUAACAUUGUUUGUGAAACAUGAUAUCAAUAAAUAGAUUAGUUAUGUUUUGUAGGGUUUAUUAUAAUGAAGGGGAAGUUGUAGGAUUAUAGAGCUUGUGGGAAAUUUAGUUUCGAUUCAAUUCACAAAAUGAAGAAACGUUAUAUGAGGCAUAUAUAUGAUAUAUUGUAAUGAAAUUUUGUAAUAAAAAAAAAAAAAUAUUUGUAUUUUUUGUGUAUUUGAAAAUUGUUGAGAAUGUUAAAAAGUCAAUUAUUUGUUAUGGAAAUUGACCAAUGAAAUAUUAGAUUUAGUUAUCUAGAGAAAUUUGAAAUUAAACAUUAUGAAAAUGUUUGUUAAAAUAGAAAAAAAAAAUAAUUAGCAUUAAUGGAAUGUGAAGAAUUUGUAAAAGAUAUUUAAAAUGAUAGAAUUAAUUGAAUAAGUUUAAUAGUCAAUAUAUUUUUUUGUUAUUUUUUUUUUUUUGCACAAUAUUGUAUUCAAAGUAAUGAAUGUCAUGAGAAUAAUGAAGUGGAAAUGUCAUAUGUGAAUAGAGAAAUUAAUUUUGAGAUUAGGUGCAGUAUUAGCAAUGGUAAAUUAAAAGUUAAUAUUACAGCAAAUGAUUUUUAGUAAUGAGGCCAAAAAUGACGACAAUAAAUUGAAAUAACAUGUUUGAAGCAAAUAAACAUACUGAGAAUGUUUUGUAAUAAAAGAUAGAAAUGAUCAAAAUAGGAAUUGAAUGUUUAAUUGAAAUAGAUAUGAUGACUGACAAUAAGAAAUUAUUAUAAUGAAGGGGGAAGUGCCCAACCUGGAGAAUUAUA